RNAcentral lists this small nucleolar RNA (99 nucleotides) under Oryza sativa Indica Group (long-grained rice). RNAcentral also lists the same sequence under 1 other name. The record is from RNAcentral. Lineage: Eukaryota; Viridiplantae; Streptophyta; Magnoliopsida; Poales; Poaceae.
CACUCAUAAUGCAAAAGAAAACAUUCAGUUCAGAUCUAUAUCAGCUUUAUCUGUCAUGAAUUCUCAGAAGCAGAACUGGCAUGGUAAGCUGAAAGUUUG